CUUUGCCUUACAGGACAGAAGUUGUACAAGUGAAGAAUGAAUAUCUCUGCUCUGUUGGUGUUUAUUUCUGCUGUCGUGUCUGUUUAUGGGUAUUAUGAACUGCCCUGCUCUGACUGCAAUCAUCCUUGUACUGCUGAUCGCUUGAAAAACGUCACAGAACAAUUAUUCGAGCACAUGAACUUUACCGACUGCAAAGAGAACGAACACUUUUCAAAAAGAGCCAAUCCUACCUGGAAGUGCGAACCAUCACACCCGGUUUUCAACAGACAUCCUGAAACUGUCUUUAAUGCCAUAUGUGGAAACUGCAAAGAUGGAUCUGAGGCAGUAUCGAUUUUGCAAAAUAUCAGCAUGUUAUUCAGAAAGUCCUGCCUGAACAGAAAUAACUCUAAUAAUAACAUAAUAUUAUAUGUAAAACCAGUCACAAUCUCAUUAGGCUGUACGUGUGUAAAGAAAACUCCUUUUUAAAGAACAAUAUGUAAAUUAUGCCUGGAUGAUAUGGAUGAUCUUUUAUGUUUUUGACAAAAAUGCUCUUAAUGUUUUUUACAAUGCAUGUUUGUAAAAACGUUCUCAAAACCAUGUAAUAAUUUGGCUGUGUAUAUAUA
Long non-coding RNA from Cyprinus carpio carpio, 602 nucleotides. The record is from Ensembl. NCBI's taxonomy places the organism in Eukaryota, Metazoa, Chordata, Actinopteri, Cypriniformes, Cyprinidae.